Molecule: transfer RNA, 73 nt
Organism: Clostridium sp. CAG:1024
Lineage: Bacteria; Bacillati; Bacillota; Clostridia; Eubacteriales; Clostridiaceae
Rfam family: tRNA
About the family: Transfer RNA (tRNA) molecules are approximately 80 nucleotides in length.
Source: Rfam
GACCCGUUAGCUCAGUCGGUAGAGCACUUGACUUUUAAUCAAGGUGUCCGGAGUUCGAAUCUCCGACGGGUCA